This 510-nucleotide ribosomal RNA is filed under the name uncultured eukaryote. RNAcentral's name for it is "SSU rRNA". It matches the Rfam family "Eukaryotic small subunit ribosomal RNA", at positions 612 to 1118 of the family's 1831-position model. The record is from RNAcentral.
GUUGCAGUUAAAAAGCUCGUAGUUGGAUUUCUGGCGAACCGUUGCGGCCCGUGCUCGUCUCGGGCGUGUGUGCCGUGUCGUGUUUGUCAUCCUUCCAGAGAGCUGCGUCUACCAUUCACUUGGCCGGACGUACGCGAUCUGGAUCGAUUACUUUGAAAAAUUAGAGUGUUUAAAGCAGGCUUACGCUGUGAAUACAUUAGCAUGGAAUAAUAAUUUAGGACUUCGGUUCUAUUUUGUUGGUUUCUAGGACUGAAGUAAUGAUUGAUAGGGACAGUUGGGGGUGCUAGUAUUCCGCGGCCAGAGGUGAAAUUCUUGGAUUCGCGGAAGACUAACUACUGCGAAAGCAUUCACCAAGGAUGUCUUCUUUAAUCAAGAACGAAAGUUGGGGGAUCGAAGACGAUCAGAUACCGUCGUAGUCUCAACCAUAAACUAUACCGACUAAGGAUCAGUGAACGUUGAUUUACGACUUCAUUGGCACUUUGUGAGAAAUCAAAGUCUUUGGGUUCCGGG